Molecule: long non-coding RNA, 543 nt
Organism: Prosopis cineraria
Lineage: Eukaryota; Viridiplantae; Streptophyta; Magnoliopsida; Fabales; Fabaceae
Exons: 2
Source: RefSeq, a predicted model, not a curated record
UUUUUUUUUUUUUUUCCAAUUAUGACAGGGGAAUGGGAGUUGUUGGUGAGCAGCCUGUAAUGCUUCCUAGGACUAGUUUUGAGUACUCUUCAGCAUGUCCCAUAAGCACACCGAAUGGUAGAAUGGAAGGUGACUUUGAGAUGAUACACGUUGAUAGAAUAGGCUCAUCAUCAUUUAACGUGGCUGUUGCUCCCUUCUCGCUCUCUCUGCUUGGAGAUGAUGAUGGUCAUUAUAUUUGAGAUAGAAGUGCAGCAUCAUCCUCGCAGAUGUGCCAGAUUGGCAUACAGAACAUUUAAAUACGCAAUUUUCUUUUUUAAGUGUAAAAUAUCUGGUACUUAGGAAUAAGUGCUUAGCAAAUGUUUGUACAUAACGUGUAUAUCACAGGCAGUUCAAAUACUACUGUGUUUGGAACCAACGCCGUACCUCUCAAAAAAAGGAGAAAAAAAGAAGUUCUUGUGUAAUUACUUCUGAGCAACCAGGAAUCUGGACUCUUGGUUGUUUAAUAAUGGAUGAAUGAAUAUGGGGGAUGCCAUUUGAAGAUUA